CCCGCAAUCAUCAGAAACCUCAUGUCCACUGAAAUCACAACAGCAUCUGUGUCUCUGAGCUGGACUGAACCAUUCGGAAACAGAUCCUUCUACAGAGUAGAAUGGACUGAUGGCAAUACCAAUGGCAGUCAGAAUACCCCAGAAACCUCUUUUAAUGUUACUGCUCUCACUGCUGGAGUGCAGUACCUCUUCACAGUCACUGCAGUGGCUGGAGAUAACACAACUGUAGGACAGAGCAAGACGGUUUCUAAGUAUACAAAGCCCGCAAUCAUCAGAAACCUCAUGUCCACUGAAAUCACAACAGCAUCUGUGUCUCUGAGCUGGACUGAACCAUUCGGAAACAGAUCCUUCUACAGAGUAGAAUGGACUGAUGGCAAUACCAAUGGCAGUCAGAAUACCCCAGAAACCUCUUUUAAUGUUACUGCUCUCACUGCUGGAGUGCAGUACCUCUUCACAGUCACUGCAGUGGCUGGAGAUAACACAACUGUAGGACAGAGCAAGACGGUUUCUAAGUAUACAAAGCCCGCAAUCAUCAGAAACCUCAUGUCCACUGAAAUCACAACAGCAUCUGUGUCUCUGAGCUGGACUGAACCAUUCGGAAACAGAUCCUUCUACAGAGUAGAAUGGACUGAUGGCAAUACCAAUGGCAGUCAGAAUACCCCAGAAACCUCUUUUAAUGUUACUGCUCUCACUGCUGGAGUGCAGUACCUCUUCACAGUCACUGCAGUGGCUGGAGAUAACACAACUGUAGGACAGAGCAAGACGGUUUCUAAGUAUACAAGUAAGUAACUCAGAUACUUUAGUGUUGGAUUGUUUCAAUUCCACAGACACUAUUUGUAUUCAUUUAU
Long non-coding RNA from Oncorhynchus masou masou (cherry salmon), 848 nucleotides. RefSeq lists it as uncharacterized. The record is from RefSeq and is a predicted model, not a curated record. Lineage: Eukaryota; Metazoa; Chordata; Actinopteri; Salmoniformes; Salmonidae. The transcript has 3 exons.